Molecule: ribosomal RNA, 253 nt
Filed under: uncultured bacterium
Lineage: Bacteria
Description: partial 16S ribosomal RNA
Rfam family: Bacterial small subunit ribosomal RNA
Source: RNAcentral
UACGUAGGGUGCAAGCGUUGUCCGGAAUUAUUGGGCGUAAAGAGCUCGUAGGCGGCCUGUCGCGUCGGCUGUGAAAACCCGGGGCUCAACCCCGGGCCUGCAGUCGAUACGGGCAGGCUAGAGUCCGGUAGGGGAGACUGGAAUUCCUGGUGUAGCGGUGAAAUGCGCAGAUAUCUGGAGGAACACCGGUGGCGAAGGCGGCAUCCUGGACCAAUUCUGACGCUGAGGAGCGAAAGCCAGGGGAGCAAACGGG